GAGCUCGCUCUGGCAGCACAUGUACUAAAAUUGGAAUGAUACAGAGAAGACUAGCAGGGCCCACGAACAAGGAUGGAGUGCCAAUUUGUGACGUGACCCGUAUUUUC
Molecule: small nuclear RNA, 107 nt
Filed under: Dasypus novemcinctus (nine-banded armadillo)
Lineage: Eukaryota; Metazoa; Chordata; Mammalia; Cingulata; Dasypodidae
Source: RNAcentral